Molecule: ribosomal RNA, 1021 nt
Filed under: Streptomyces sp.
Lineage: Bacteria; Bacillati; Actinomycetota; Actinomycetes; Kitasatosporales; Streptomycetaceae
Description: bacterial SSU rRNA
Rfam family: Bacterial small subunit ribosomal RNA
Source: RNAcentral
UGAGUAACACGUGGGCUAUCUGCCCUGCUUACUGGGACAAGGCCUGGAAACGGUGUCUAAUACCGGAUACUGAUCCUCGCAGGCAUCUGCGAGGUUCGAAAGCUCCGGCGGUGCAGGAUGAGCCCGCGGCCUAUCAGCUAGUUGGUGAGGUAACGGCUCAACAAGGCGACGACGGGUAGCCGGCCUGAGUAGGCGACCGGCCACACUGGGACUGAGACCCGGCCCAGACUCCUACGGGAGGCAGCAGUGGGGAAUAUUGCACAAUGGGCGAAAGCCUGAUGCCGCGACGCCGCGUGAGGGAUGACGGCCUUCGGGUUGUAAACCUCUUUCAGCAGGGAAGAAGCGAAAGUGACGGUACCUGCAGAAAAAGCGCCGGCUAACUACGUGCCAGCAGCCGCGGUAAUACGUAGGGCGCAAGCGUUGUCCGGAAUUAUUGGGCGUAAAGAGCUCGUAGGCGGCUUGUCACGUCGGUUGUGAAAGCCCGGGGCUUAACCCCGGGUCUGCAGUCCAUACCGGCAAGCUAGAAUUCGGUAGGGGAGAUCGGAAUUCCUGGUGUAGCGGUGAAAUGCGCAGAUAUCAGGAGGAACACCGGUGGCGAAAGAGGAUCUCUGGGCCGAUACUGACGCUGAAGAGCCAAAGCGUGGGGAGCGAACAGGAUUACAUACCCUGGUAGUCCACGCCGUAAACGGUGGGCACUAAGUGUGGGCAACAUUCCACGUUGUCCGUGCCGCAGCUAACGCAUUAAGUGCCCCGCCUGGGGAGUACCGCCGCAAGGCUAAAACUCCAAAGGAAUUGACAGGGGGCCCGCACAAUCGGCGGAAUCAUGUGGGCUUAAUUUCGACGCCACGCGAAAGAACCUUACCAAGGCUUGACAUACACCGGAACAACCCUGGAGACAGGGGUCCCCCUUGUGGUCCGAGUAACAGGUGGGGGCAUGGCUGUCGUCAACCUCGUGUCCUGAGAUGUUGGGGUUAAGUCCCGCCACCCAAGCGCGAACCCUUGUUCCCUUGUUGCCAACCAA